GACGAACGCUGGCGGCGUGCUUAACACAUGCAAGUCGAACGGAAAGGCCCUGCUUUUGUGGGGUGCUCGAUUGGCGAACGGGUGAGUAACACGUGAGUAACCUGCCCUUGACUUUGGGAUAACUUCAGGAAACUGGGGCUAAUAUCGGAUAGGAUCUCCUGCUGCAUGGUGGGGGUUGGAAAUUUUCGGCGGUUGGGGAUGGACUCGCGGCUUAUCAGCUUGUUGGUGGGGUAGUGGCUUACCAAGGCUUUGACGGGUAGCCGGCCUGAGAGGGUGACCGGCCACAUUGGGACUGAGAUACGGCCCAGACUCCUACGGGAGGCAGCAGUGGGGAAUAUUGCACAAUGGGCGGAAGCCUGAUACAGCAACGCCGCGUGCGGGAUGACGGCCUUCGGGUUGUAAACCGCUUUCGCCUGUGACGAAGCGUGAGUGACGGUAAUGGGUAAAGAAGCACCGGCUAACUACGUG
Molecule: ribosomal RNA, 468 nt
Filed under: uncultured bacterium
Lineage: Bacteria
Description: partial 16S ribosomal RNA
Rfam family: Bacterial small subunit ribosomal RNA
Source: RNAcentral